UCGGGAAUAUUGCGCAAUGGACGAAAGUCUGACGCAGCAACACCGCGUGAAGGAUGAAUGCCUUCGGGUUGUAAACUUCAAUAGUUAGGGAUGAAAUCUUGACAGUACCUAACGAAAGCACCGGCUAACUACGUGCCAGCAGCCGCGGUAAUACGUAGGGUGCAAGCGUUAUCCGGAUUUAUUGGGCGUAAAGAGCGCGUAGGUGGCUUAAUAAGUCUUUGUUAAAAGGCUAUCGCUCAACGGUAGUUUUGACAAAGAGACUGUUUUGCUAGAAAAAACUAGAGGCAAGCGGAACUUGCGGUGGAGGAGUAAAAUCCAUUGAUCUCGCAAGGAACACCGAUGGCGAAGGCAGCUUGCUGGGGUUUUUUGACACUGAGGCGCGAAAGCGUGGGUAGCGAACGGG
RNAcentral lists this ribosomal RNA (403 nucleotides) under uncultured bacterium. Its description in RNAcentral is "bacterial SSU rRNA". It matches the Rfam family "Bacterial small subunit ribosomal RNA", at positions 355 to 776 of the family's 1533-position model. The record is from RNAcentral.